AGAGUUUGAUCAUGGCUCAGAAUCAACGCUGGCGGCGUGCCUAACACAUGCAAGUCGAGCGAGAAAGGGGCUUCGGCCCUGAGUACAGCGGCGCACGGGUGAGUAACACGUGGGUAAUCUGCCCUAGAGUGGGGAAUAACACCGGGAAACCGGUGCUAAUACCGCAUACGAUCGCGAUGUCUUCGGAUGUUGUGAUGAAAGGAGCAAUUCGCUCUUGGAGGAGCCCGCGGCUGAUUAGCUAGUUGGUGAGGUAAUGGCUCACCAAGGCAACGAUCAGUAGCCGGUCUGAGAGGACGGUCGGCCACACUGGAACUGAGACACGGUCCAGACUCCUACGGGAGGCAGCAGUGGGGAAUUUUUCGCAAUGGGGGCAACCCUGACGAAGCAACGCCGCGUGGGUGAUGAAGUCUCUUGGGACGUAAAACCCUUUCGACGGGGAAGAAACCGCAAGGUUGACGGUACCCGUAGAAGAAGCCCCGGCUAACUCCGUGCCAGCAGCCGCGGUAAUACGGGGGGGGCGAGCGUUGUUCGGAAUUACUGGGCGUAAAGGGCGCGUAGGCGGUUCGCUAAGUUGAAUGUGAAAACUCUGGGCUUAACCCAGAGCCUGCAUUCAAUACUGGCGGGCUAGAGUUCUGGAGGGGAUAGCGGAAUUCCUGGUGUAGCGGUGAAAUGCGUAGAUAUCAGGAGGAACACCGGUGGCGAAGGCGGCUAUCUGGACAGAGUCUGACGCUGAGGCGCGAAAGCUAGGGGAGCAAACAGGAUUAGAUACCCUGGUAGUCCUAGCCCUAAACGAUGGAUACUUGCUGUGACUGGGAUUGAAUCCAGUCGUGGCGAAGCUAACGCAUUAAGUAUCCCGCCUGGGGAGUACGGUCGCAAGGCUGAACUCAAGGAUUGACGGGGCCCGCACAGCGGUGGAGUAUGUGGUUUAAUUCGACGCAACGCGAAGAACCUUACCUGGGCUCGAACGGCUGGUGACAGAUGA
This 982-nucleotide ribosomal RNA is filed under the name uncultured bacterium. Its description in RNAcentral is "bacterial SSU rRNA". It matches the Rfam family "Bacterial small subunit ribosomal RNA", at positions 8 to 1002 of the family's 1533-position model. The record is from RNAcentral.